UGCCGCGUGAGUGAAGAAGGCCUUCGGGUUGUAAAGCUCUUUCGGCCGGAACGAAAUCGCAUCUCUUAAUACGGGGUGUGGAUGACGGUACCGGAAGAAGAAGCACCGGCUAACUACGUGCCAGCAGCCGCGGUAAUACGUAGGGUGCGAGCGUUAAUCGGAAUUACUGGGCGUAAAGCGUGCGCAGGCGGUUCGCUAAGACAGGUGUGAAAUCCCCGGGCUUAACCUGGGAAUGGCGCUUGUGACUGGCGGGCUGGAGUACGGCAGAGGGAGGUGGAAUUCCACGUGUAGCAGUGAAAUGCGUAGAGAUGUGGAGGAACACCGAUGGCGAAGGCAGCCUCCUGGGCCAGUACUGACGCUCAUGCACGAAAGCGUGGGGAGCAAACAGGAUUAGAUACCCUGGUAGUCCACGCCCUAAACGAUGCGAACUAGUCGUUGGAGGAGCAAUCCUUUAGUGACGCAGCUAACGCGUGAAGUUCGCCGCCUGGGGAGUACGGUCGCAAGAUUA
RNAcentral lists this ribosomal RNA (508 nucleotides) under uncultured Pseudomonadota bacterium. Its description in RNAcentral is "bacterial SSU rRNA". It matches the Rfam family "Bacterial small subunit ribosomal RNA", at positions 395 to 896 of the family's 1533-position model. Lineage: Bacteria; Pseudomonadati; Pseudomonadota. The record is from RNAcentral.